UCUUUUGUGUUUCAAUUGUGGUUUAAUCGGUUACAAAAUUGACUCAUGUUCGAUGAAAAUGACGACACAAGAAUCUGCUCCAGCAACGGCUUCCAUCAAUCUGCAACGUACACCAAAUUCCUUUGACGAUGGCGGGAUUGUGGAGAAGAAACAAGAAUUGGAGAAAGACUCCUUUAGGCCCUGGAUGCUAGUCCAAAGAAAGAAACCUAAGCCCAAAGGAACAAACGAACCAACCCAUCUUAGAGGGGCAGGAGAAAGAUAUGAAGAAAUUGAAGUCUCG
Molecule: long non-coding RNA, 280 nt
Filed under: Gossypium barbadense (sea-island cotton)
Lineage: Eukaryota; Viridiplantae; Streptophyta; Magnoliopsida; Malvales; Malvaceae
Description: long non-coding RNA (GBAR_LNC014991)
Source: RNAcentral